Benincasa hispida (wax gourd) is the source of this 6331-nucleotide non-coding RNA. The record is from RefSeq and is a predicted model, not a curated record. Lineage: Eukaryota; Viridiplantae; Streptophyta; Magnoliopsida; Cucurbitales; Cucurbitaceae.
CAAAGUUUACAAACUACGAGAUUACAAGAGAUUUAGGAUACCAAUCCCCACAUACAUUGCUUAACCCAAAGGAUUUGUGGAUCCUACACAUCCUGACCAUGUAUAUAGACUCAACAAGGUUCUUUAUGGCCUUAAACAGGCACACAGAGCCUGGUAUGAACGGUUAACCGAGUUUCUUAUCAACAUCGUGUACAGUUGUGGAAGAGAUGAUAAGACUCUCUUUGUAAAAAAAUCUCAUGAGAAUUUUGUGGUUAUUCAAAUUUAUGUUGACGAUAUUGUUUUCAGAGGGAUGCCACAGAAGAUGGUCGAGUUCUUUGUGAGACAAAUGUAGAAAGAAUACGAUAUGAGCAUGGUAGGAGAACUACCCUAUUUUAUGAGAUUUCAAAUAAAGCAACUAAAUGAGGGAAUCCUUCUACCAAAGUAAAUAUGCCAAGAGUUUAAUGAAGAAGUUCGGCUUGGAAAGUGCUAGUGUCAAAAGAACUCCAGCUCCAACUAAUGCAAAAAUGUCAAAAGACUGAAGUGGAGCUCAAGUCGAUGAAAGCCUAUACAAAAGCAUCAUUGGAAGCUUACUCUAUUUAACAACCUCUUAUCGUGCUGUGAUUCAUGGACAGCCCUUGGAAAAACCCUUCAUACUUCAAGCCUCGAACGAGUUGAAGUUCUGCCCUAUUUAUGCCAUCAAUGAUCUCUGUUUUCCUCAACUUGACUGGGCUGCGAUGGUGGUGAUACAGAGGUCACAUUACCAUGAUUGAUGGACAGAAAUUUGUGCUUCCAUACAAACAAGCCUCUCGAUUCAUUGCUUUAUCAAUCCCUUCUUACCGGAUAAGGCCUUGCCAUGUCUAUGACCAGCAAAUCUCAUCUAAACUCUGUGAACUCACUGAUAGCCAAACGUUUGGGAUUUUUAGAGUUAAAUUCCAGGGGACUGAAAUUUUUUCAUCCUUCCAAAGUUUCUCGACUCCCUCCUAUUGUGGAUGGAUUGAGAUUUUCAACUUACCUCCUAUUCUUGGAGCGACAAAACUCGUACUAGACGAACAGGGGAAUAAAUUUUUUGGUGGCAAAGGUGAAGGUCCAAUCAAAUGAGGUAAGUUUCAUCCCUAAUUGUCUUACCCUGCUUGUCGACCUUGCUGGAAUUCCAUGGACAAUUCAGAUCACGGGUACCGACGCUGGAAGACGCCAUAGCCAUCGGCCUGAAAAUCUGCCCACUGAAUCUUUGAAAAUCAAGGAAUCAUUAUUGCCGCAAUUUUCAAAUAAAUGUAAAUCUCCAGCCAUUUCCAUAAAUGUAAUUGUCGGUUCCUCUCAAUUUCCAUCUUCGCAGCCAUCUUCUAUCACUCCAAAAUUGGUGGAGCAAAAUAACUAGAAGUAUCUCUCCUCUAAAUUAAGUAUACCAAAUCAGUUGGCCCACCAACCCCUCAUUUCAAACAAUUUGGCUGCCACAUCAUCCUCCCCCUUUAACUUUCCCAAUUUUAAUCAAUGGGCCCACCAAUUCCCCAUCAUCACAGCCGUGACUUUCCAAGAUCGACCCACCACCCUUACAGAUGGAAAUAAAUUAUUUACUAAUCCACAAAGCUUAAACUUACCCAAUAUGGGUUCAGAAACUGAAGCGCGAAGCCUAUUUAACCAGCCCACUUUCACCAAAUAAAGACUUCAAUUCUUACCCAUUGGACCCUGGUGUUUUCGGAGACAAUCCUGAUCAGUCCCACCAACGACCAUUAUCCAGUCUUCCCCCACCGUCGGAGGACUUGAACAACCAUCAAAAUCUACCGCUGAGAAACGAAAUAAACUACAAAGCGAGCUCCAAAAUCUCCAUUCCUCAAUACAUUAUGACAAAUCGACCACCUUGGCCAUUAUGGAGGGCACAGAUAUUGAUCAACGAAAAUUAUAUCAUGGAAUGUUUGGGGCUUGAAACCCUAAGAUUGUUCUGAUGUGGAUUUUUUUAUGAUUAAGUCCAUCUGGAGUUCUUUUUUCAUUGGUUGGGCUGCUCUUGAUAUCACUGACUCAUCAGGAGGAGCUUGAUUAUCUUGCUGGCUUGGGUGGUGACAGGUGGAUUGUUGGUGGUGAUUUUAAUGUGACCCGAUGGUCUUGGGAAAAACCUCAUGACCAUUACAUAUCUUCUAGUAUGUGGGCUUUUAAUAGUUGGAUCUCUAAUUAUCAGUCACAUGAUCUACCUCUGACAAAUGGGAAUUUUACUCGGUCAAGCUAUGGCAGUCCUUUUUAUCUUUCUAUACUGCACAGGCUUUUGAGUAUUGAUACUUACCAUGACAAGUUUCGGCCCUUGGUUGAGGAUUGGUGGAACAGAAACCCCAUCUCUAGAUUACCUAGAGACAAAACCAAGAUAGCAUUGCAAUGAAGCUCCCAUCUCUUAUAUCCCAACUCAGUCAACUUGAUAAAUUGGAAGAUGAUAGACCGCUUACUAAUGAAUAGAUCUCUUUUCAUCGCCCUCUUUGAGAACAAAUUGAAUGUUUAACUGAAUAGGAACAUAUUUAUUGGUGGCAGUGGCAGAGGUGUAAGCUUAAAUGGCUUCAUGAAGGUGACGAAAAUACUCAUUUUUUCCAUCGUAUUGUUGUUGCUCAUAAACGUAAGAGCUCGGUCACUAAAAUUCUCUCCCGAGAUGGUCAUAGUCUUGUAAUGGCCAAUGAUAUUGAGAUUGAAUUCCUUGAUUGCUCUUCACUAGGGAUGGGGUCAAACCGGGAAAAUUUUUCGGAGCCCCAUCCGAGGACGGGGUGGGGACGGAGAUGGUAUCCCGGACCUCAAUUAAUCCCCAACCCCAUUUGAUAUAUUUAUAUUUUUAAUAUUUUAUAAAUAUAUAUUUAUAAUAUAUAAAAUAAUUUAUUUAUAUGUAUGUUUAUAAUUUAUAGAUAGUGUUGUGAGUCCAAUAUUCAAUAUAUAAAUUCUAAAUCUAAGCCAAAAAUCAAGUUCAAAUUUAAAAAAUUAAAAGAAAAAAAAACCCUAAAUUUUGAAAACACAAACAUUGUGUUGCCAACUUGUCGUUCGGUGCGUUGGAUGAGCGUGCGUCUCAGCGCCUGCCAUCUGUCGUGAGCAUUGGUCCGUUUGAUUUCGAGUUCGUCUGUCUGCAUUCGACUUCAUUCAGUCCGUUCGUGAGUGUGAAGUUCAAGCGUCCGUUCGUGACCGUGAAGUUCAGGCGUCCGUUCGAGUUCGACUUCAAGUUCAUUCAAGCGUUCGUCCAUUCGAUUUCGAGUUCGUUCUUCCGAGUUCGAGUUAUUCCAAAUUCGUUCAGUUCGAGUUUGAGUUCAUGAAGACCUUUCAGGCGUCCGUUCGAGUUGGAGUCGCUGCCAAGCUCGCCAUUCAACUUCCGAGAGAGGAGAUCUGGAAAGAAAUUGAAUGGUGUCAAGUAUCCCAUUUUACAAGAAAUUGCAAAAGACAUAUUAGCCAUUCCGUUAUCUGAGUACCUGUGGUAGGAUUGUAAGCCCACAUCAUAACAAACUUCAUCCAAAGACGAUAGAGGCUUUAAUGUGCGCUCAAAAUUGGAUUGCAACCGAAGAUUUAACAGGUACUAACACGGGAAAAGAAAUGGUUAAACAUUUAGCAACUGUUUUAGAAGACGCUGACGAUUCUGAUGAAGAUGGCGUGGUGACUAAGGUAUGCUCAAGGAUUAACAUUAUUUUCUUAUGACACUUUUUAUUUUUUGUGGUCUAGCUCACUGAGAAAGAGGUACACAGGGCUAUCUCCUCUUUGGGUUCUAGUAAAUCUCCUGAUCUUGAUGGAUAUACUGUGAAGUUCUUUAAAUCGUUAUGGCCUAUUCUUAAAGGUGACAUUAUGUAUAUGACAAAUGAUAUUUUUAACUCUAGUAUUAUUAAUGCUUCGCUUAAUGGGACCUUCAUUUACCUUAUUCCGAAGAAAAUUGAUUCAAAAUUGGUAUCUGAUUAUCGACCUAUUAGUCUUAUUCCAUGCGCAUAUAAGAUCUUAGCCAGAGUUUUAUCAAACCAUUUGAAGAAUAUCCUUCCGUCCACCAUUAUUAUUAAUCAAUUGGCUUUUGUGGCUAAUAGACAACAUCUUUUUUGGCGAAUGAGUUGGUUGAUGACUGGUUUCAGAAUGAUAAAGUUAGGGUAGUUCUUAAACUAGAUCUUGCAAAGGCUUUUGACAUUGUUGACUGGUAUUUUUUGGAUGCUAUUUUAUAGAUUAAAGGUUUUGGUCCUAUUUGGCCAUCUUGGAUAUAUGGUUGUAUUUCUAGUGCAAAUUUUUCGAUUAUCAUCAAUGGACGACUUAGGGGUAAGAUCAUCCCAUCCCGUGGAAUUCGACAGGGGAUCCUCUUUCACCAUUCUUAUUUGUUCUUGUUGCUAAUUGUUUGAGUCGCGUUAUGAAUUAUAGCUCUUCGUUGGGCCUCCUUACUACUCACUUUAUUGGUAGAUCAUCUUUUAUUUUGAAUCAAUUGCAAUUUGCUUAUGAUACAUUGCUUUUUUCCACUGCUGAUUGUGUUGCUUUAUAACAUCUCUUUGAUGUGGUUUGAAUUUUUGAAAGGGCUUCCGGUCUGGCUAUUAAUUUUUCAAAGAGUGAAAUUUUGGGGAUACAUAUCAAUGAUGCUGAUUUGACAUGGUUGUUGAAUACCUUUGGCUAUAAGCUUGGUAUUUGGCCUUCUACGUAUCUUGGUUUGCUUUCAGAGGGGGGACUCGCAUUCUAUUCACUUUUGGCAACCGAUUGUUAAAUGGAUUCAACACAAAUUGCAUAGUUGGAAAUAUGCUUACAUCUCUAAGGGAGGCCGCCUGGAUAUAUCCAACAUUCUUACAUACUACCUACCUCUCUUUCAUGUCCCGCAUGAUGUCAUCAAUAUUCUGGAAAAUUUAUUCUUGAUUUAUUGUGGGAAAGGAUCUCAGGGAGAUGGUGGUAUGCAUAAUGUCAAAUGGGAGGCUAUUCAGAGGCUUAGAUUGAUGGGUGGUUUGGGUGUUGGAAAUUUCGGUUGCAUAAUUCUGCUUUGUUAGCAAAGUGGAUUUAGUGUUUUCUUCAUGAGCCUAAUGCUUUGUUGCAAGGUUUUAUUGUGGCUAAACAUUACUCCCCCUUUUGUAUCUCUGGCCUUCUACUGUUCGAGGCGGAUCCACACGUUCUCCUUAGAAGUUUAAUUCACAGACUCUUGGAUUGAUUUCCUCUCGAACUCGAAAUUGUCUUGGUGAUGGUACCUCUAUCUCUUUCUAGAAAGAUCCCUGGCUAGAUUGUGGUAUUCUCUGUAAUAUUUUUCCUCGAUUAUUUCGUCUUGCGUUUUCAACCUGAUUUUAAGGUGGCUAAUGUCUGAGUCAUUGAAUUUGAAGCUUGGAAAUUAGAUCUUCGUCAUAAUCUUAAUGAUCUGGAGACUAAUGAGUGGGCUUCUUUGCCUCAUAUUUUAUCAUCAAUCAAGUUGCGUCCUAUUCCUGAUUCAUGGUCCUGGUCUUUGGACUCUUCUCCGUCUUUCUCUGUCAAAUUUCUAUUAAAUGAUUUUGUCGAAGUGGUUGAAACUGUCCAGGACCUCUACUUAGUUGGAAAGAUUUUUAUCCUAAGAAGAUUAAGCUCUUCCUUUGGGAGCUUAGUCUUGGCGCUAUCAGUACUGUGGAUCGUUUAUAUGUCCAUACAUGUCCCUUUCUCCUUCUUGGUGUAUCAUGUGUCGGUGAGAUGGGGAAUCUCCUACUCACCUGUUUGUGCAUUGCCCUUUUGCUUCUCGUUUUCGGCACAUUGUUUUGGAUGCUUUUGGCUGGUCUCUGAUCGGAACUAACAAUAUCUUUGAUAUUUUGGCAUUCCUUCUGUUGGGACAUCCAUUUGGUGGUACUAAACGAUUGAUUUGGAUGGCAAUUACUCGUGCAUUUUUUUGGAUCCUUUGGAAUUCGAGUACUACAUACAUUUUGGAGUAUUAUGGACCAUUCGGGGAUGAUUUGGAACUAUUAGGAGUUUAACAAAGCAUCUGAGGCUUCAAGGGACUCAAAAUGAGGAAAAUACCUCCAAAGGUCCUAGCAUCGUGUGGCACUAGGAGAAGCGUGAAACCCAGAAGGAAAAAAAAGAAAAAAAAAAUAGGACAACAUCGCGAAUACUGCCUUGUGGCACCACAACGUUGUCUGAAGUCCCAACAGAUGUGUGCGCACUGCAGAAACUCACCCAACCCAUAGAACUACAUCGCCGCAAUGCUCUCGAUGGGGCUUAUACCUCAUUUUUCAUUCUACAAUUGAAGGAGAUUGUCCGUUCUUUUCAGUAUUUCCUUAGUUUUAGAUUGUAUGUCAGCUCAUAUUGACGAGUCUUGAUUACUUCCUUGCGGUCUGUAUUCUUUGCUGGUUAUGUUUUUAGUGUAAGGAAUUUUGGAUGAACCCACUUGUAAUUAUGUGAGAAUUCCAAGUUUAGUGCAUAUUUCUAUCCCUCAACA